This 389-nucleotide ribosomal RNA is filed under the name uncultured Methanomicrobiales archaeon. Its description in RNAcentral is "bacterial SSU rRNA". It matches the Rfam family "Archaeal small subunit ribosomal RNA", at positions 950 to 1338 of the family's 1478-position model. Lineage: Archaea; Methanobacteriati; Methanobacteriota; Methanomicrobia; Methanomicrobiales. The record is from RNAcentral.
AUAGUCGGGCUGAAGACUCUACUUGACUAGCUGAGAGGAGGUGCAUGGCCGUCGUCAGUUCGUACUGUGAAGCAUCCUGUUAAGUCAGGCAACGAGCGAGACCCACGCCAACAGUUGCCAGCUCGUCCUCCGGGAUGGUGGGGACACUGUUGGGACCGCCUCUGCUAAAGAGGAGGAAGGAAUGGGCAACGGUAGGUCAGCAUGCCCCGAAUUAUCUGGGCUACACGCGGGCUACAAUGGGUGGGACAAUGGGUAUCGACACCGAAAGGUGAAGGCAAUCUCCUAAACCCAUCCGUAGUUCGGAUUGUGGGCUGCAACUCGCCCACAUGAAGCUGGAAUCUGUAGUAAUCGUGUCUCAAAAUGGCACGGUGAAUAUGUCCCUGCUCCUU